RNAcentral lists this ribosomal RNA (307 nucleotides) under uncultured bacterium. RNAcentral's name for it is "bacterial SSU rRNA". It matches the Rfam family "Bacterial small subunit ribosomal RNA", at positions 28 to 334 of the family's 1533-position model. The record is from RNAcentral.
GACGAACGCUGGCGGCGUGCUUAACACAUGCAAGUCGGGCGGGGAUAAGAGCUUCGGUUCUUAUUCUAGCGGCGGACGGGUGAGUAACGCGUGAACAAUCUGUCCCAGACAGGGGGAUAACACUUGGAAGCAGGUGCUAAUACCGCAUAAGACCACGACACCACAUGGUGAUGGGGUGAAAGAUUUAUCGGUUUGGGGUGAGUUCGCUUCCGAUUAGCUAGUUGGUGAGGUAACGGCCCACCAAGGCGACGAUCGGUAGCCGACCUGAGAGGGUGAUCGGCCACAUUGGAACUGAGACACGGUCCAA